CUUGGGUAGAGACAGGGCCUUUGCUCUCUCCCUCCUCCAGGAAAAGCCGUGUCUUGGUCUGGGUAGCCGGGCUUGGUAGUGGUGGUGGGGCAUCUGUAGCUCUAGGUCCAGCUGGAGGCCCCACCUGGCCAGGUGUUGAGCGAGCAGGUCUGGUCCAUAGCCUUGGGGUCUGUGGGGUCUCCCAGGGUGGCCCUGAGUGGGUUGCUGGGCCCCUCCAAAGUAUUAAAUUUCUGCUGCUUCUUGUUAUAUCAGCUUUCUCAAGGCAGCCUUCAUGCUGCGAAGCUAAACUCAGACAGACUCUGGGUCUGAGGGUCUUUCUAAUUUUCCUGAAAGCUUAGCUCUGUCUGGGCACAUUCCUGAGGGUCAGCUCUACCCCCUACUUCAUGGGUCCUAAUCUGCAUCUGGGUUUGGGCAUCCUAUCUGAAAAUGUCCUGCUUUUUCUUAAUCCCUGUCUACAGCAGACCCUCUCUCUGCAGACAUCAGGGCAGUUUGUUGUGGGGGAAGAGUCAAGUGAGGAUUUCCAUGUCUGGAGGAAUCUCCUGGAGGAGCUUGUCAAAAAAUGGAGACUCUUGGGCCCAACCCCAGGGAUUCUGAUUUAGGGGGUUGGGGUGGCGCCCAGGAGUCUGCAAGUUAAAAAAUAAAUAGCCCAGGAGAUUCUGAUACAGGUGGGCGAUGGCAAACAUUUUGAGAAAUCCCAGGAGGUGGGAAGGAAGGACUACAGACAGAUGGCCUGGUUGGAAUCUUCUGGGAAUCACCUCUGGGAAUCAGUUUCCUCACUCGUAAAGUGGAGAGGAUAAUGCUUUGGCACCUGGCAUAUGAACCUGAUGCUCACUAUGCUACUCUCCUGCUCAAGAACCUGCUGUGGCUGGACUGUACAUCACGCCUAAACUGCCUCAACCUCCACUUAUAUCAACCUUCACUUCCCCCGUUCCACGGGCCCAUCCAGACACAACUCCUCACUGUGUUGGACCAUUCUGGCAGCUGCGUCUUGGAGUGACCUUUCUUUUGACCUCUGUCAUUUUCAAGACAGCCUCUCCAUGAAGCCCUCCCUGACAGCCCCAGCCCACUUGAGCUUUCUUUUCUCUUACUGGCCAGCAUCAGACACCAACUGUUUCUCGUCACCUAAUUGAGCAUGGUAGAGGAGACAUUGGAAACAGAAAAAUCCAAAGCUCAUGGCCUUGCUCUGCUCCUUCCUGGCUGUGUUAUCCUGAGCAAAGUACUUCAUCCCCCUGAGCCUCAGUUUCCCCCAAAAUAUGCAGGGGGGAAUACUCC
This 1272-nucleotide long non-coding RNA is filed under the name Pan troglodytes (chimpanzee). RNAcentral's name for it is "long non-coding RNA NONPTRT000898". Lineage: Eukaryota; Metazoa; Chordata; Mammalia; Primates; Hominidae. The record is from RNAcentral.